RNAcentral lists this ribosomal RNA (422 nucleotides) under Verrucomicrobiota bacterium. Its description in RNAcentral is "Verrucomicrobia bacterium partial 16S ribosomal RNA". It matches the Rfam family "Bacterial small subunit ribosomal RNA", at positions 355 to 776 of the family's 1533-position model. Lineage: Bacteria; Pseudomonadati; Verrucomicrobiota. The record is from RNAcentral.
UGGGGAAUUUUGCACAAUGGGCGCAAGCCUGAUGCAGCGACGCCGCGUGAGGGAUGAAGGCCUUCGGGUUGUAAACCUUUUUCGCUCAUGGUCAAGCCGCAGCUUUGGGUUGUGGUGAGGGUAGUGGGUAAAGAAGCGCCGGCUAACUACGUGCCAGCAGCCGCGGUAAUACGUAGGGCGCGAGCGUUGUCCGGAAUUAUUGGGCGUAAAGGGCUUGUAGGCGGUUGGCCGCGUCUGCCGUGAAAUCCUCUGGCUUAACUGGGGGCGUGCGGUGGGUACGGGUUGACUUGAGUGCGGUAGGGGAGACUGGAAUUCCUGGUGUAGCGGUGAAAUGCGUAGAGAUUAGGAGGAACACCGGUGGCGAAAGCGGCUUUUUGGCCUGCAACUGACACUGAGGCGCGAAAGCGUGGGGAGCAAACAGG